UGCAGUCGAGCGGCAGCACGGGUACUUGUACCUGGUGGCGAGCGGCGGACGGGUGAGUAAUGCCUAGGAAUCUGCCUGGUAGUGGGGGAUAACGCUCGGAAACGGACGCUAAUACCGCAUACGUCCUACGGGAGAAAGCAGGGGACCUUCGGGCCUUGCGCUAUCAGAUGAGCCUAGGUCGGAUUAGCUAGUUGGUGAGGUAAUGGCUCACCAAGGCGACGAUCCGUAACUGGUCUGAGAGGAUGAUCAGUCACACUGGAACUGAGACACGGUCCAGACUCCUACGGGAGGCAGCAGUGGGGAAUAUUGGACAAUGGGCGAAAGCCUGAUCCAGCCAUGCCGCGUGUGUGAAGAAGGUCUUCGGAUUGUAAAGCACUUUAAGUUGGGAGGAAGGGCAUUAACCUAAUACGUUAGUGUUUUGACGUUACCGACAGAAUAAGCACCGGCUAACUCUGUGCCAGCAGCCGCGGUAAUACAGAGGGUGCAAGCGUUAAUCGGAAUUACUGGGCGUAAAGCGCGCGUAGGUGGUUCGUUAAGUUGGAUGUGAAAUCCCCGGGCUCAACCUGGGAACUGCAUUCAAAACUGUCGAGCUAGAGUAUGGUAAAGGGUGGGUGGAAUUUCCUGGUGUAGCGGUGAAAUGCGGAGAUUUG
Molecule: ribosomal RNA, 650 nt
Filed under: Pseudomonas frederiksbergensis
Lineage: Bacteria; Pseudomonadati; Pseudomonadota; Gammaproteobacteria; Pseudomonadales; Pseudomonadaceae
Description: bacterial SSU rRNA
Rfam family: Bacterial small subunit ribosomal RNA
Source: RNAcentral